CAAUCAGCAAGUAUACUGCCCUAG
This 24-nucleotide microRNA is filed under the name Pteropus alecto (black flying fox). Its description in RNAcentral is "pal-miR-34a-3p". Its record names the gene pal-miR-34a-3p. Lineage: Eukaryota; Metazoa; Chordata; Mammalia; Chiroptera; Pteropodidae. The record is from miRBase by way of RNAcentral.